RNAcentral lists this non-coding RNA (904 nucleotides) under Perkinsus marinus ATCC 50983. RNAcentral's name for it is "Eukaryotic small subunit ribosomal RNA". It matches the Rfam family "Eukaryotic small subunit ribosomal RNA", at positions 1 to 900 of the family's 1831-position model. The record is from Rfam by way of RNAcentral. Lineage: Eukaryota; Perkinsozoa; Perkinsida; Perkinsidae.
CACCUGGUUGAUCCUGCCAGUAGUCAUAUGCUUGUCUCAAAGAUUAAGCCAUGCAUGUCUAAGUAUAAGCUUUAAACGGCGAAACUGCGAAUGGCUCAUUAAAACAGUUAUAGUUUAUUUGGUGAUCGAUUACUAUUUGGAUAACCGUAGUAAUUCUAGAGCUAAUACAUGCGUCAAGGCCCGACUUCGGAAGGGCUGCGUUUAUUAGAUACAGAACCAACCUAGGCUCCGCCUAGUCCUUGUUGGUGAUUCAUAAUAACCCGGCGAAUCGCACGGCUUGUCCGGCGAUGGACCAUUCAAGUUUCUGACCUAUCAGCUAUGGACGGUAGGGUAUUGGCCUACCGUGGCGUUGACGGGUAACGGGGAAUUAGGGUUCGAUUCCGGAGAGGGAGCCUGAGAAACGGCUACCACAUCUAAGGAAGGCAGCAGGCGCGCAAAUUACCCAAUCCUGAUACAGGGAGGUAGUGACAAGAAAUAACAAUACAGGGCAAUUCUGUCUUGUAAUUGGAAUGAGUAGAUUUUAAAUCUCUUUACGAGUAUCAAUUGGAGGGCAAGUCUGGUGCCAGCAGCCGCGGUAAUUCCAGCUCCAAUAGCGUAUAUUAAAGUUGUUGCGGUUAAAAAGCUCGUAGUUGGAUUUCUGCCUUGGGCGACCGAUCCACCUUUCCUACGGGAUUGGUUGGUAUCAGGUUUGACCUUGGCUUUUUCUUGGGAUUCGUGCUCACGUACUUAACUGUGCGUUGACCGUGUUCCAAGACUUUUACUUUGAGGAAAUUAGAGUGUUUCAAGCAGGCUUAUGCCAUGAAUACAUUAGCAUGGAAUAAUAGGAUAUGACUUCGGUCAUAUUUUGUUGGUUUCUAGGACUGAAGUAAUGAUUAAUAGGGACAGUCGGGGGCAUUCGUAUUUA